GAUAUUGUUGAGGACAUGGUGAGGCCUUUUCUUUCGCUGGUCGGCUGCCCAGAUUGCAAAGACCACUAGAAGGUUAUCACGCGCGUCUCACAGUCAAUGGCUAAUCCGAAUGCAUUUUAUGUGAAAUGUUUAAGAUAUAAACUUGACUAUCAGGGUAAGAAAUGCGGCUUUUACAAGUGGCUUCAUGAAUAUGCACAGUACCUGCGGAAGAUUGGCGAACCGGCUCCCCAGAAUCUUCUUGGUAGAAUUGAAGAACUUCAUAUGAAUAAAGUAGCAAGUUUCAAUCUGCUGGAGGGCGAGGUGAACAGUGCCCAUCACGCAGAGGUGAUUGAACUUGAGGGAGUGCCGAGGGAAAGAAAACUUCAGGAGAUGGUGAACACACUCCAGAAUGAAAAAAAAACUUAAGGAACUGGAGGAUGCACUGGAGAAGGCGAACGCAAGAGGAAGGCGUUGUUUUAUCGGUUGUUUAAUCAUGUUUUUCUGGUUCAUUUCUUUGUGUUUUGCUGUGUUUGUUGGUCGUGCUUUGGAUGCUGGGCAGAACUAGUUAGGACAAGUGCUCAUGGUGUAAUUAUGGCAGUGAUCCAGUGAAUGACAUCCUAGACUUAAUAGUUUUAUGAACUCGUGAUGUUGCUUUUUGAUGACUAUGUUUGUUGGAUAGCAAAAAAUAUUAUCCUUGCCACAUAAUUUACUGAGCUUCUCCCGGAA
Molecule: long non-coding RNA, 705 nt
Organism: Triticum aestivum (bread wheat)
Lineage: Eukaryota; Viridiplantae; Streptophyta; Magnoliopsida; Poales; Poaceae
Exons: 2
Source: RefSeq, a predicted model, not a curated record